This 30-nucleotide non-coding RNA is filed under the name Homo sapiens (human). Lineage: Eukaryota; Metazoa; Chordata; Mammalia; Primates; Hominidae. The record is from RNAcentral.
UCCCUCAGUGUCCUUGUCAGUACCAGCUGG